RNAcentral lists this ribosomal RNA (695 nucleotides) under Nalanthamala vermoesenii. RNAcentral's name for it is "LSU rRNA". It matches the Rfam family "Eukaryotic large subunit ribosomal RNA", at positions 78 to 805 of the family's 3401-position model. Lineage: Eukaryota; Fungi; Ascomycota; Sordariomycetes; Hypocreales; Nectriaceae. The record is from RNAcentral.
CCCCAGUAACGGCGAGUGAAGCGGCAACAGCUCAAAUUUGAAAUCUGGCCCCCCGGCCCGAGUUGUAAUUUGUAGAGGAUGCUUUUGGUGCGGCGCCUUCCGAGUUCCCUGGAACGGGACGCCAUAGAGGGUGAGAGCCCCGUCUGGUUGGCCGCCAAGCCUCUGUAAAGCUCCUUCGACGAGUCGAGUAGUUUGGGAAUGCUGCUCUAAAUGGGAGGUAUAUGUCUUCUAAAGCUAAAUACCGGCCAGAGACCGAUAGCGCACAAGUAGAGUGAUCGAAAGAUGAAAAGCACUUUGAAAAGAGAGUUAAAUAGCACGUGAAAUUGUUGAAAGGGAAGCGCUUGUGACCAGACUUGGGCUUGGUUAAUCAUCCAGCGUUCUCGCUGGUGCACUUGGCCGGCCCAGGCCAGCAUCAGUUCGGCUUGGGGGAUAAAGGCGUCGGGAACGUGGCUCCCCCGGGAGUGUUAUAGCCCUUCGCGCAAUGCCCUGAGCCGGACUGAGGUUCGCGCAUCUGCAUGGAUGCUGGCGUAAUGGUCAUCAGCGACCCGUCUUGAAACACGGACCAAGGAGUCGUCUUCGUAUGCGAGUGUUCGGGUGUCAAACCCCUACGCGUAAUGAAAGUGAACGCAGGUGAGAGCUUCGGCGCAUCACCGACCGAUCCUGAUGUUCUCGGAUGGAUUUGAGUAAGAGCAUAC